AGGACGAACGCUGGCGGCGUGCUUAACACAUGCAAGUCGAGCGGUAAGGCCUUUCGGGGUACACGAGCGGCGAACGGGUGAGUAACACGUGGGUGAUCUGCCCUGCACUCUGGGAUAAGCCUGGGAAACUGGGUCUAAUACCGGAUAUGACCUGCUCUCGCAUGGGGGUGGUGGAAAGAUUUAUCGGUGCAGGAUGGGCCCGCGGCCUAUCAGCUUGUUGGUGGGGUAAUGGCCUACCAAGGCGACGACGGGUAGCCGACCUGAGAGGGUGACCGGCCACACUGGGACUGAGACACGGCCCAGACUCCUAUGGGAGGCAGCAGUGGGAAUAUGCACAAUGGGCGAAAGCCUGAUGCAGCGACGCCGCGUGAGGAUGAAGGCCUUCGGGUUGUAAACCGUCUUUCAGCAGGACGAAGCGCAAGUGACGGUACCUGCAGAAGAAGCACCGGCUAACUACGUGCCAAGCAGCCGC
Molecule: ribosomal RNA, 472 nt
Filed under: uncultured soil bacterium
Lineage: Bacteria
Description: bacterial SSU rRNA
Rfam family: Bacterial small subunit ribosomal RNA
Source: RNAcentral